This 73-nucleotide transfer RNA is filed under the name Thermoleophilaceae bacterium. RNAcentral describes it as "tRNA-Met". It matches the Rfam family "tRNA". Rfam says of the family: Transfer RNA (tRNA) molecules are approximately 80 nucleotides in length. Their secondary structure includes four short double-helical elements and three loops (D, anti-codon, and T loops). Further hydrogen bonds mediate the characteristic L-shaped molecular structure. tRNAs have two regions of fundamental functional importance: the anti-codon, which is responsible for specific mRNA codon recognition, and the 3' end, to which the tRNAs corresponding amino acid is attached (by aminoacyl-tRNA synthetases). tRNAs cope with the degeneracy of the genetic code in two manners: having more than one tRNA (with a specific anti-codon) for a particular amino acid; and 'wobble' base-pairing, i.e. permitting non-standard base-pairing at the 3rd anti-codon position. Lineage: Bacteria; Bacillati; Actinomycetota; Thermoleophilia; Thermoleophilales; Thermoleophilaceae. The record is from RNAcentral.
GGCUCCGUAGCUCAGCGGUUAGAGCGCGCCACUCAUAAUGGCGAGGUCCCUGGUUCAAAUCCAGGCGGAGCUA